AAGAAGGGUUCCCACCACCCAUAUUCAUACUUUGGAUAUGGUGCCACCCAUUUUUCUGGCUUCUCAAACUCUAGGGUCGUAGGAUUGGAGGCUAAUGCUUCUUCUAGGGUGUCAGCUUCAUAGCUAUCAGAUAAAACCCGGUCCAAUCUUAGUUUCAUAAACGUGAUCCAUGGACCAUUUGUUGACACUAGAGCAACAGCAGGCCUCUUUAACCUCUUAUUAAUAUUAGGGAAUUUGUCCAAGAACUUG
RNAcentral lists this unclassified non-coding RNA (249 nucleotides) under Hevea brasiliensis (rubber tree). The record is from RNAcentral. Lineage: Eukaryota; Viridiplantae; Streptophyta; Magnoliopsida; Malpighiales; Euphorbiaceae.